Molecule: ribosomal RNA, 434 nt
Filed under: uncultured bacterium
Lineage: Bacteria
Description: partial 16S ribosomal RNA
Rfam family: Bacterial small subunit ribosomal RNA
Source: RNAcentral
AACGAACGCUGGCGGCAUGCCUAACACAUGCAAGUCGAACGAGACCUUCGGGUCUAGUGGCGCACGGGUGCGUAACGCGUGGGAACCUGCCCUUAGGUUCGGAAUAACUCCCCGAAAGGGGUGCUAAUACCGGAUAAUGUCUUCGGACCAAAGAUUUAUCGCCUUUGGAUGGGCCCGCGUUGGAUUAGCUAGUUGGUAGGGUAAAAGCCUACCAAGGCGACGAUCCAUAGCUGGUCUGAGAGGAUGAUCAGCCACACUGGGACUGAGACACGGCCCAGACUCCUACGGGAGGUAGCAGUGGGGAAUAUUGGACAAUGGGCGAAAGCCUGAUCCAGCAAUGCCGCGUGAGUGAUGAAGGCCUUAGGGUUGUAAAGCUCUUUUACCCGGGAUGAUAAUGACAGUACCGGGAGAAUAAGCUCCGGCUAACUCCGUGC